CUCGUCGUCAUUGCAUUACUAUAAUUAACUAUAUUGUUUGGUGCAUUCAAAAUAACAAGUGAAUCUUCUACACAUGUUAUUAAUCGGACGUACUACUUUCAAAUUUAUUGUAUAUUUAUUACACAAUACUAAACAACACUUAAAACGUAGAGCAACAAAUAAGAGUUUAUUUUUACUUUAAUACUAUUAUUUGCUAUAUAGAUCUCCCUUCCCGAACGUGCUAUUGGUGUCCAUCUCCCGGACUAGGGCCAGAACUAUCUAUUCUGCCUGAAUUUUUUUUCGAGCCAUUAAAACUGUUUCUUAUUUCCUGGCUUGGCUCGGAAAUCUCCACUGGCUCCAAAGCCAGCUGCUUCUCAUUCCAGCUCGGUGUCUUUUGCAGUGGCCGGCUGGCUUCAGCUGUGUAAAAACCCUGGCUCAGUAAUAUCACAGAGAAAAUAAGAAAAAAGAUAGCGAAAAAUUGGUACAAUUUAGCCAUAUCAAUGUGUUGUGAUUGAAACCAAU
This 501-nucleotide long non-coding RNA is filed under the name Olea europaea subsp. europaea. Lineage: Eukaryota; Viridiplantae; Streptophyta; Magnoliopsida; Lamiales; Oleaceae. The record is from RNAcentral.